Molecule: long non-coding RNA, 327 nt
Filed under: Theobroma cacao (cacao)
Lineage: Eukaryota; Viridiplantae; Streptophyta; Magnoliopsida; Malvales; Malvaceae
Description: long non-coding RNA (TCAC_LNC001939)
Source: RNAcentral
UUGAAUGAAAAAUAUGCCAGUUGCUUAAGGAAGUUUUAAUUAAGUUGCUACCCAUACAAAUGUGUGAUUAAGUAUACUGAGUUUAAAUUGUUGCUAGGAAAGAUUGUUGUGGAGCAUGCCAAACGAAGUAUGUGACCGACAAAUAGGAAUAAUUAUAUACGCGUACGAAUCAAUAGUGAAGUAAUAUCCUACCAUUAUGAGGUGAGUAGGGGGUGUCAAUUUUAAAAAUUCCGUAUAUAUAUACAUGUACGUAUAUUUUACGUGAAGUGCAAAAUUUAUGGAAAGCAUGCGUUGAUAGAAUUUUAAGGAAUUGUGGGUGUAAGUUAU